Molecule: ribosomal RNA, 483 nt
Filed under: uncultured bacterium
Lineage: Bacteria
Description: partial 16S ribosomal RNA
Rfam family: Bacterial small subunit ribosomal RNA
Source: RNAcentral
AUUGAACGCUGGCGGCAGGCCUAACACAUGCAAGUCGAGCGGAUGAAGGGAGCUUGCUCCUGGAUUCAGCGGCGGACGGGUGAGUAAUGCCUAGGAAUCUGCCUGGUAGUGGGGGAUAACGUCCGGAAACGGGCGCUAAUACCGCAUACGUCCUGAGGGAGAAAGUGGGGGAUCUUCGGACCUCACGCUAUCAGAUGAGCCUAGGUCGGAUUAGCUAGUUGGUGGGGUAAAGGCCUACCAAGGCGACGAUCCGUAACUGGUCUGAGAGGAUGAUCAGCACACCUGAAACUGGAAACCGUCCCAACUCCCCCGGGGGGGCAGCGUGGGGAAAUUUUGGGAAUGGGGGGAAACCCUGACCCACCCCGCCCGCUGGUUGGAAGAAGGUUUUCGGUUUGUAAACCCCUUUAAGUUGGGAGGAAGGGCAGUAAUUUAAUCCCUUGCUUUUUGGCCUUUCCCAACAAAAAAAGCACCGGCUAACUUCGU